UCGCAAGACCAAAGAGGGGGACCCUCGGGCCUCUUGCCAUCGGAUGUGCCCAGAUGGGAUUAGCUUGUUGGUGGGGGUAACGGCUCACCAAGGCGACGAUCCGUAGUUGGUCUGAGAGGAUGACCAGCCACACUGGAACUGAGACACGGUCCAGACUCCUACGGGAGGCAGCAGUGGGGAAUAUUGCACAAUGGGCGCAAGCCUGAUGCAGCCAUGCCGCGUGUAUGAAGAAGGCCUUCGGGUUGUAAAGUACUUUCAGCGGGGAGGAAGGGAGUAAAGUUAAUACCUUUGCUCAUUGACGUUACCCGCAGAAGAAGCACCGGCUAACUCCGUGCCAGCAGCCGCGGUAAUACGGAGGGUGCAAGCGUUAAUCGGAAUUACUGGGCGUAAAGCGCACGCAGGCGGUUUGUUAAGUCAGAUGUGAAAUCCCCGGGCUCAACCUGGGAACUGCAUCUGAUACUGGCAAGCUUGAGUCUCGUAGAGGGGGGUAGAAUUCCAGGUGUAGCGGUGAAAUGCGUAGAGAUCUGGAGGAAUACCGGUGGCGAAGGCGGCCCCCUGGACGAAGACUGACGCUCAGGUGCGAAAGCGCGGGAUCAAACAGGAUUAGAUACCCUGGUAGUCCACGCCGUAAUCGAUUCACUUGGAGGUUGUGCCCUUGAGGCGUGGCUUCCGGAGCUAACGCGUUAAGUCGACC
Molecule: ribosomal RNA, 694 nt
Filed under: uncultured bacterium
Lineage: Bacteria
Description: bacterial SSU rRNA
Rfam family: Bacterial small subunit ribosomal RNA
Source: RNAcentral